Molecule: ribosomal RNA, 450 nt
Filed under: uncultured bacterium
Lineage: Bacteria
Description: bacterial SSU rRNA
Rfam family: Bacterial small subunit ribosomal RNA
Source: RNAcentral
GUGGGGAAUAUUGGACAAUGGGCGAAAGCCUGAUCCAGCCAUGCCGCGUGUGUGAAGAAGGUCUUCGGAUUGUAAAGCACUUUAAGUUGGGAGGAAGGGCAGUAAGUUAAUACCUUGCUGUUUUGACGUUACCGACAGAAUAAGCACCGGCUAACUUCGUGCCAGCAGCCGCGGUAAUACGAAGGGUGCAAGCGUUAAUCGGAAUUACUGGGCGUAAAGCGCGCGUAGGUGGUUUUGUAAGUUGGAGGUGAAAUCCCCGGGCUCAACCUGGGAACUGCCUACAAAACUGCAUGACUAGAGUACGGUAGAGGGUAGUGGAAUUUCCUGUGUAGCGGUGAAAUGCGUAGAUAUAGGAAGGAACACCAGUGGCGAGGGCGACUACCUGGACUGAUACUGACACUGAGGUGCGAAAGCGUGGGGAGCAAACAGGAUUAGAAACCCGGGUAGUCC